AUGGAGGGAGUCAACGCGGUCGCAUCGAACGACUUGAGGCAGAGGCUUCGUCCUCCUCUUUUCAACAGGAAGAAGGGCAGCGGCGGCGCUGAGGACUCCGGCGAGCGGCAGGAGGUCUGGGGAUGGGGGAUCCAUGGCGGAGGUGGCGAGAUCCGACGGUCCUCGGCCGGAUCUGACGCGAAACGGUGGCGGAAGCUCCUGCUACUGCAGUACAGGGAGAGAGAGAUACAUGAGAGAGAAGAAAAACGAGAGAGGGAGGAGAAGGAGACAGAGAGAGACGUGGGCGCGAGGCAGUUCUUGGCGGACGGCUCACCGACGGCGCCAAACGGUGAUGGCGAAGAAAAGGCUUCAGGAGGAGCUCCUCUCCUCCUGAAUCGGGACAAGGCGCGGGGUUACGGGGGGGUGUCGUCGUCUGCGGGUGGAGGCCAAGAGGAUCAGGUGCUACAGCGCUGGGGCCUGCUGGUUUUAGUCGCCCGUGAUGGACGGGAAUGGCAGCGUCCGAGAGCUCGGGGACGAGGCGUUGAAGCUGGAAAGAGGCGGCUGUGGGAACGAGCCGCGAUGGUUGGUCGAGCACGGAAACAGAGAAGAGACUGGGGUGGCGGCGGCUAG
RNAcentral lists this ribosomal RNA (609 nucleotides) under Triticum aestivum (bread wheat). RNAcentral's name for it is "partial small subunit ribosomal RNA". The record is from RNAcentral. Lineage: Eukaryota; Viridiplantae; Streptophyta; Magnoliopsida; Poales; Poaceae.